Molecule: ribosomal RNA, 301 nt
Filed under: uncultured bacterium
Lineage: Bacteria
Description: partial 16S ribosomal RNA
Rfam family: Bacterial small subunit ribosomal RNA
Source: RNAcentral
CAGCAGCCACGGUAAUACGAAGGGGGCUAGCGUUGCUCGGAAUGACUGGGCGUAAAGGGCGCGUAGGCGGCGGCCAAAGUCAGGCGUGAAAUUCCCGGGCUCAACCUGGGGGCUGCGUUUGAUACUUGGUUGCUUGAGUGGGGAAGAGGGUCGUGGAAUUCCCAGUGUAGAGGUGAAAUUCGUAGAUAUUGGGAAGAACACCGGUGGCGAAGGCGGCGACCUGGUCCUUUACUGACGCUGAGGCGCGAAAGCGUGGGGAGCAAACAGGAUUAGAUACCCGAGUAGUCCCUGUCUCUUAUAU